AGCGAACGCUGGCGGCAGGCUUAACACAUGCAAGUCGAGCGGGCACUUCGGUGUCAGCGGCAGACGGGUGAGUAACACGUGGGAACGUACCCUUUGGUUCGGAAUAACGCUGGGAAACUAGCGCUAAUACCGGAUACGCCCUUUUGGGGAAAGGCUUGCUGCCGCAGGAUCGGCCCGCGUCUGAUUAGCUGGUUGGUGGGGUAAUGGCCUACCAAGGCGACGAUCAGUAGCUGGUCUGAGAGGGUGAUCAGCCACACUGGGACUGAGACACGGCCCAGACUCCUACGGGAGGCAGCAGUGGGGAAUAUUGGACAAUGGGCGCAAGCCUGAUCCAGCCAUGCCGCGUGAGUGAUGAAGGCCUUAGGGUUGUAAAGCUCUUUUGGCCGGGACGAUAAUGACGGUACCGGAAGAAUAAGCCCCGGCUAACUUCGUG
RNAcentral lists this ribosomal RNA (433 nucleotides) under uncultured bacterium. RNAcentral describes it as "partial 16S ribosomal RNA". It matches the Rfam family "Bacterial small subunit ribosomal RNA", at positions 29 to 507 of the family's 1533-position model. The record is from RNAcentral.